RNAcentral lists this ribosomal RNA (442 nucleotides) under uncultured bacterium. Its description in RNAcentral is "partial 16S ribosomal RNA". It matches the Rfam family "Bacterial small subunit ribosomal RNA", at positions 338 to 795 of the family's 1533-position model. The record is from RNAcentral.
CCUACGGGAGGCAGCAGUGGGGAAUAUUGCACAAUGGGCGAAAGCCUGAUGCAGCAACGCCGCGUGAAGGAAGAAGGCCUUCGGGUCGUAAACUUCUGUCCUUGGGGAAGAAGAACUGACGGUACCCAAGGAGGAAGCCCCGGCUAACUACGUGCCAGCAGCCGCGGUAAGACGUAGGGGGCAAGCGUUAUCCGGAAUUAUUGGGCGUAAAGAGUACGUAGGUGGCAACCUAAGCGCAGGGUUAAAGGCAAUGGCUCAACCUGUGUAUGGCACUUGAUACUUGCAAGCUGGAAUGCGGUAGAGGUAAAGGGAAGUCCUGGUGUAGCGGUGAAAUGCUUAGAUAUCAGGAGGAACAUCGGUGGCGUAAGCGCUUUACUGGGCCGUAAUUGACGCUGAGGAACGAAAGCCAGGGUAGCAAAUGGGAUUAGAUACCCCUGUAGUC